GGACUGUGGCCCGCAGGCCUCGCCCCUGGGAUGGCGUCCGGCCCCGGGGCCUGCGAGGCGAGGCCGGGCUGGCGGGAAUGCGCGGCGCCCCAGGCCCCGCAACGACCGCUACUUCACGGCUUUGCUUGAAGGCUUCCAGCAGAAGGCGUGGCCCAGAGUACAGGUGUGCCUUCUCACCUCAGGAUCCGGUUCAAAGGCAUGCUGUCUUCCUGCCUCCAGAUCUGGAUCACAGGCGUGUCCUCCAUGUCUGGAUUGUAGUGCAUUCCAGGUGUAUUCAGGUUGACAACCAAGAGUAGUCACCACAGCACCCAUACAUGUAAAAUAAAAGCGAAUCAUCAUCA
Molecule: long non-coding RNA, 341 nt
Organism: Mesocricetus auratus (golden hamster)
Lineage: Eukaryota; Metazoa; Chordata; Mammalia; Rodentia; Cricetidae
Exons: 2
Source: RefSeq, a predicted model, not a curated record